AUGAUGUUGUCUAUGGAGACUUUGCUCACUGGGCCUCCACUAAUGAAGGUGCGACAGACCAGCCAGACGGUUGGGACUGGCACCAGGCGUAGGGGGCUCUGGUACAUGGACCAGGAGGUGCAGCCGGACUUGGUGUGUGCUGCAACCAUGGAGGAUAAGGAGAAGCAGGCGAUGAUCCAUCACUAUAGGAUGGGGCGUGUAUCUUUUGAUAAGAUGAGUAGAAUAUUUCCGGAUGUUAUGUGUGGAAUAGGCAAAGGCAAGCUGACAUGUGAUGCUUGUGAAUAUGCAAAACACACACGGGCCUCAUAUGUGAGUAAGGGGCUCAGGAGCAUAUCUCCUUUUAUGCUUAUUCAUUCGGAUGUAUGGACUAGCCCAAUGGUGUCAAAUGGGAAGAAGUAUUUUGCUACCUUUAUUGACUGUUAUUCUCGCAUGACUUGGAUUUACUUGAUGCGUCACAAGGAUGAGGUGUUUAGCUGUUUUCAGCACUUCCAUGCUCUUGUAAAGAACCAGUUUCAAGUACAGGUCAAGGUGCUCAGGACGGACAAUGGAACGGAGUAUGUGAACAACAUUUUUGGGGCUUUCAUGGCUGACCAUGGGAUUCUUCAUCAAACUUCAUGUCCGGACACCCCCCCUCAGAAUGGAGUGGCCGAACGAAAGAAUCGUCAUGUUCUUGAGGUUGCUCGGUCGUUGAUGUUUACCAUGAAUGUGCCUAAGUUCUUGUGGGAUGAUGCAGUUAUGACAGCCACAUACUUGAUCAACCGGACACCUUCCAGGAUACUUGGCAUGAAAUCUCCGUCUGAGUUGCUCGUUGGAGAUAAUAAGUUUGUUGUUCCGCCAAAGUUGUUUGGCAGUACCUGCUUUGUUCGUGAUCACCGACCAUCUGUUGGCAAGCUUGAUCCUCGGGCAAUGAAGUGUGUCUUUUUGGGAUACUCGUCUAGUCAGCAGGGGUAUAAAUGUUGGUGUCCCUCUGAAAAACGCAGGUUUGUAAGUAUGGACGUUACGUUCAGGGAGUCUGAGCCAUUCUAUGGUGAGCCGUCUGAUCUCAGUCUGCUGUUUGCAGAGCUUGACCACCUACACCCUGUGCAUGAUGGUCAAGAGGGGGAGAAGGAUGUGUCUCAUACUCACGGGGAUUCUGUGGACAUUAACGCUGAUAAUGAUGUGCAGGCUCAAGUUCAACCAAUAGUGGGUACAUUCCGGUUAGUACCAUCACUGAUGAUGAUGUGCAGGCUCAUGUCGAGCCAACUGUCGAUACACUUAAGAUUGGUGCUCUCCAGGUUCCUGUUCGGGAUCGAUGGCAGACGAAUACCCUGGUGUACUCUCGACGGCAACCACAAGUGCAGGGGAGCAGCAAGGCAGGGAGGCAAGAGUGCAGGGGGAGCAGCAAGGCAGUGA
This 1392-nucleotide ribosomal RNA is filed under the name Triticum aestivum (bread wheat). Its description in RNAcentral is "partial small subunit ribosomal RNA". The record is from RNAcentral. Lineage: Eukaryota; Viridiplantae; Streptophyta; Magnoliopsida; Poales; Poaceae.